GAGCACAGAAGGAACAAAAAAAAAGCUGCCCACUUGUUGCCUUUUUGUUUUAUUAUUUUAAUAGAAGGUCAGUGAUGAACCACAGUCUUUUCUUUCUCCCCAAUCUAUGGUGGUUGAAGAGCACUUGGCAAUCAGCAGAACAAGGAUUUAGGAAGAGUGGAAUCAUUAUCUGGCUUUCUAUGGGCUGCCAAAAGACAGAAGAGCAACCCCAAGUACAUGCUGCAGAACUUUGUAAAUGCACUCUUUCUAAGGCCUUUGGAUGUGGAGCACUGAAAAGAGACCAGAACAGACAUGAAAUGGUUAUUUUCAUUUUUCAUUAUAACUUGAGUCAUCCAAAAGAGAACGCUAAAAUUCCCUUGGAGACAGAAAUUUUGAGUUUGGCCAACUUUGUUCACCUUUCAUACUCCAUGUUCUGACGCACUGAGGCAAAGGAACUGCUGAGAAUAACCUUUAUCACUGCAUAUUUCAUCCAUUCCAGAACAACUUCAUUUUCUGCAAUGACUGAAAGAAAAGGUCUGCAUCAAAAAGAUCCAGGUACAAAACUAGAGGAUAUCAAGAAAGAAGAAAGUGCGGUCCGGUUUUCUGAGGUUAUUUCUGAUUUAUUGUUGAUGCUUUGUUGCAGUGAUCCAGCACUGCUGCAUGCCAGAAACAGAGGGUAUGAAUGAUUUCAGAGGUGUGAAGUACAGGUGAUUCCAAGUGUGGGAAAUAAAGUGCUUGGAAACUGAAGCCUGUAUAGUUUCAUCCAUUUCUUUGCCCUGGCUAAAGACAAAAGUUUGGCCAUAAUAUUCAUGAAUAAAAUAUGAAUGAUUAUUUUUGUUAGCAGGUGCCAUUUCACCAUUGCCAAAACACUGCAAAGCAAUAUCGACCCUGGCAAAAUUAGAGAGAGACUAAGAAACCUGAAGUAUGAGAAGCAACUAUGCUUCUCCUAACCUAAAGGGUAGCUCUGCUUUUCAUCAGAGCCAGGGUUUGUAGCACUCUCAUUUUUCAGACAGCAAAUAAUUUUUUUAAACAAAGGUGGUUUCUGAAAAAUGCAGCAGAAGGACGCGUUCUAUCUGUGGUUGUGCAAAACUUGGGGACUGCUCUGGAUGAAUGCACUGUAUGUUAUUCAGCAUGUAUAUGACCUGCUCAAGCCCAUUCUUAGUAGCAGGUCCUCCCUUGCUGUUC
Tympanuchus pallidicinctus (lesser prairie-chicken) is the source of this 1164-nucleotide long non-coding RNA. RefSeq lists it as uncharacterized. The record is from RefSeq and is a predicted model, not a curated record. The transcript is spliced from 4 exons. Lineage: Eukaryota; Metazoa; Chordata; Aves; Galliformes; Phasianidae.